UAGGGAAUCUUCCACAAUGGACGCAAGUCUGAUGGAGCAACGCCGCGUGAGUGAAGAAGGCUUUCGGGUCGUAAAACUCUGUUAUUGAAGAAGAACGUGUGUGACAGUAACUGGUCAUGCAGUGACGGUAUUCAAUCAGAAAGUCACGGCUAACUACGUGCCAGCAGCCGCGGUAAUACGUAGGUGGCAAGCGUUGUCCGGAUUUAUUGGGCGUAAAGCGAGUGCAGGCGGUCUUUUAAGUCUGAUGUGAAAGCCUUCGGCUUAACCGAAGAAGGGCAUCGGAAACUGGGAGACUUGAGUGCAGAAG
RNAcentral lists this ribosomal RNA (307 nucleotides) under uncultured bacterium. RNAcentral's name for it is "partial 16S ribosomal RNA". It matches the Rfam family "Bacterial small subunit ribosomal RNA", at positions 355 to 654 of the family's 1533-position model. The record is from RNAcentral.